This 253-nucleotide unclassified non-coding RNA is filed under the name air metagenome. Its description in RNAcentral is "partial contains small subunit ribosomal RNA, internal transcribed spacer 1, and 5.8S ribosomal RNA". The stretch from base 1 to 46 matches the Rfam family "Eukaryotic small subunit ribosomal RNA", at positions 1786 to 1831 of the family's 1831-position model. The record is from RNAcentral.
AAGUCGUAACAAGGUUUCCGUAGGUGAACCUGCGGAAGGAUCAUUAAUGAAACUUCAAAGUCGGCCUCUGCUGUGCUGGUGGUUAAAUUCACAUGUGCACGCUCUGGUCGCAAAUCCACACACACCUGUGCAUCUAUGACUCGAGGUUGUAAUGACUGAGAGUAACUUUUACACACUCUGAAUGUAACGGAAUGUCUUUUUGUGCUAUAAUGUACAAUAUAAACAACUUUCAACAACGGAUCUCUUGGCUCUC